RNAcentral lists this ribosomal RNA (581 nucleotides) under uncultured bacterium. RNAcentral describes it as "partial 16S ribosomal RNA". It matches the Rfam family "Bacterial small subunit ribosomal RNA", at positions 355 to 935 of the family's 1533-position model. The record is from RNAcentral.
UGGGGAAUUUUGGACAAUGGGGGAAACCCUGAUCCAGCCAUCCCGCGUGUGCGAUGAAGGCCUUCGGGUUGUAAAGCACUUUUGGCAGGAAAGAAACGUCGCGGGUUAAUACCCCGCGAAACUGACGGUACCUGCAGAAUAAGCACCGGCUAACUACGUGCCAGCAGCCGCGGUAAUACGUAGGGUGCAAGCGUUAAUCGGAAUUACUGGGCGUAAAGCGUGCGCAGGCGGUUCGGAAAGAAAGAUGUGAAAUCCCAGAGCUUAACUUUGGAACUGCAUUUUUAACUACCGGGCUAGAGUGUGUCAGAGGGAGGUGGAAUUCCGCGUGUAGCAGUGAAAUGCGUAGAUAUGCGGAGGAACACCGAUGGCGAAGGCAGCCUCCUGGGAUAACACUGACGCUCAUGCACGAAAGCGUGGGGAGCAAACAGGAUUAGAUACCCUGGUAGUCCACGCCCUAAACGAUGUCAACUAGCUGUUGGGGCCUUCGGGCCUUGGUAGCGCAGCUAACGCGUGAAGUUGACCGCCUGGGGAGUACGGUCGCAAGNUUAAACUUAAAUGAAUUGACGGGGUCAUAGCUGUUU